ACGCAGACUCCGAUCACUUCUACUGUGUUUCAGUGAGAAGGGGAACCAGGUCUGCUACAGUAACAGGGUGCCAAGACGGUG
This 81-nucleotide small nucleolar RNA is filed under the name Anas platyrhynchos platyrhynchos (common mallard). The record is from RNAcentral. Lineage: Eukaryota; Metazoa; Chordata; Aves; Anseriformes; Anatidae.